This 313-nucleotide ribosomal RNA is filed under the name uncultured Enterobacteriaceae bacterium. RNAcentral describes it as "bacterial SSU rRNA". It matches the Rfam family "Bacterial small subunit ribosomal RNA", at positions 355 to 654 of the family's 1533-position model. Lineage: Bacteria; Pseudomonadati; Pseudomonadota; Gammaproteobacteria; Enterobacterales; Enterobacteriaceae. The record is from RNAcentral.
UGGGGAAUAUUGCACAAUGGGCGCAAGCCUGAUGCAGCCAUGCCGCGUGUAUGAAGAAGGCCUUCGGGUUGUAAAGUAUCUUUCAGCGAGGAGGAAGGUGUUGUGGUUAAUAACCGCAGCAAUUGACGUUACUCGCAGAAGAAGCAGCCGGCUAACUCCGUGCCAGCAGCCGCGGUAAUACGGAGGGUGCAAGCGUUAAUCGGAAUUACGUGGGACGUAAAGCGCACGCAGGCGGUCUGUCAAAGUCGGAUGUGAAAAUCCCCGGGCUCAACCUGGGAACUGCAUCCGAAACUGGCAGGCUAGAGUCUUGUAG